AACGCGAAGAACCUUACCUGGGCUCGAACGGCUUUGGAUCGACGGUGGAAACACUGUUUUCCCGCAAGGGACCGGAGUCGAGGUGCUGCAUGGCUGUCGUCAGCUCGUGUCGUGAGAUGUUGGGUUAAGUCCCGCAACGAGCGCAACCCUUGUCCUGUGUUGCCACUCCGUAAGGAAGCACUCUCAGGAGACCGCCAGCGAUAAGUUGGAGGAAGGUGGGGAUGAUGUCAAGUCAUCAUGGCCUUUAUGUCCAGGGCUACACACGUGCUACAAUGGCCGGUACAAAGCGCUGCAAACCCGCGAGGGGGAGCUAAUCGCAAAAAGCCGGCCUCAGUUCGGAUUGCAGGCUGCAACUCGCCUGCAUGAAGCUGGAAUCGCUAGUAAUGCCGUAUCAGAACGAUGGCGUGAAUACGUUCCCGGGCCUUGUA
RNAcentral lists this ribosomal RNA (428 nucleotides) under uncultured Acidobacterium sp. Its description in RNAcentral is "bacterial SSU rRNA". It matches the Rfam family "Bacterial small subunit ribosomal RNA", at positions 958 to 1385 of the family's 1533-position model. The record is from RNAcentral. Lineage: Bacteria; Pseudomonadati; Acidobacteriota; Terriglobia; Terriglobales; Acidobacteriaceae.